Molecule: ribosomal RNA, 740 nt
Filed under: uncultured bacterium
Lineage: Bacteria
Description: bacterial SSU rRNA
Rfam family: Bacterial small subunit ribosomal RNA
Source: RNAcentral
AGAGUUUGAUCCUGGCUCAGAACGAACGCUGGCGGCAGGCUUAACACAUGCAAGUCGGACGCACCUUCGGGUGAGUGGCAGACGGGUGAGUAACGCGUGGGAACGUGCCCUUCAGUUCGGAAUAACCCAGGGAAACUUGGGCUAAUACCGGAUACGUGCGAGAGCAGAAAGAUUUAUCGCUGAAGGAUCGGCCCGCGUCUGAUUAGCUAGUUGGUGGGGUAAUGGCCCACCAAGGCGACGAUCAGUAGCUGGUCUGAGAGGAUGAUCAGCCACAUUGGGACUGAGACACGGCCCAAACUCCUACGGGAGGCAGCAGUGGGGAAUAUUGGACAAUGGGCGCAAGCCUGAUCCAGCCAUGCCGCGUGAGUGAUGAAGGCCUUAGGGUUGUAAAGCUCUUUCGGCGGGGACGAUAAUGACGGUACCCGCAGAAGAAGCCCCGGCUAACUUCGUGCCAGCAGCCGCGGUAAUACGAAGGGGGCUAGCGUUGUUCGGAAUCACUGGGCGUAAAGGGCGCGUAGGCGGCUUGAUAAGUCGGGGGUGAAAGCCUGUGGCUCAACCACAGAAUUGCCUUCGAUACCGUCUGGCUUGAGACCGGAAGAGGUAAGUGGAACUGCGAGCGUAGAGGUGAAAUUCGUAGAUAUUCGCAAGAACACCAGUGGCGAAGGCGGCUUACUGGUCCGGUUCUGNNGCUGAGGCGCGAAAGCGUGGGGAGCAAACAGGAUUAGAUACCCUAGUAGUCC